RNAcentral lists this ribosomal RNA (583 nucleotides) under Dujonia zeylanoides. RNAcentral's name for it is "[Candida] zeylanoides partial large subunit ribosomal RNA". It matches the Rfam family "Eukaryotic large subunit ribosomal RNA", at positions 73 to 664 of the family's 3401-position model. Lineage: Eukaryota; Fungi; Ascomycota; Pichiomycetes; Serinales; Debaryomycetaceae. The record is from RNAcentral.
UGCCCCUUUAGUACGGCGAGUGAAGCGGCAAAAGCUCAAAUUUGAAAUCUAGCACUUUCAGUGUUCGAGUUGUAAUUUGAAGAAGGUAACUUUGGAAUUGGCUCUUGUCUAUGUUCCUUGGAACAGGACGUCACAGAGGGUGAGAAUCCCGUGCGAUGAGAUGUCCAAUUCUAUGUAAAGUGCUUUCGAAGAGUCGAGUUGUUUGGGAAUGCAGCUCUAAGUGGGUGGUAAAUUCCAUCUAAAGCUAAAUAUUGGCGAGAGACCGAUAGCGAACAAGUACAGUGAUGGAAAGAUGAAAAGAACUUUGAAAAGAGAGUGAAAAAGUACGUGAAAUUGUUGAAAGGGAAGGGCUUGAGAUCAGACUUGGUAUUUUGUGUUCCUUAUUCUUUUUGGAUUUGGUUCCUCACAGCUUACCGGGCCAGCAUCGGUUUGGAUGGUAGGAUAAUGACAUUGGAAUGUAGCUUUGCUUCGGUGAAGUGUUAUAGACUUUGUUGAUACUGCCUAUCUAGACCGAGGACUGCGUCUUUGACUAGGAUGCUGGCGUAAUGAUCUUAAGCCGCCCGUCUUGAACGAGGUAACCAGA